This 491-nucleotide ribosomal RNA is filed under the name uncultured bacterium. RNAcentral describes it as "partial 16S ribosomal RNA". It matches the Rfam family "Bacterial small subunit ribosomal RNA", at positions 30 to 507 of the family's 1533-position model. The record is from RNAcentral.
UUGAACGCUGGCGGCAUGCUUUACACAUGCAAGUCGAACGGUAACAGGCCUUCGGGUGCUGACGAGUGGCGAACGGGUGAGUAAUGCAUCGGAACGUGCCCAGAGGUGGGGGAUAACGCAGCGAAAGCUGUGCUAAUACCGCAUGUGAUCUGAGGAUGAAAACGGGGGACCAAGCAGCAAUGUUUGGCCUCGCGCCUCUGGAGCGGCCGAUGUCAGAUUAGGUAGUUGGUGGGGUAAAGGCCUACCAAGCCGACGAUCUGUAGCUGGUCUGAGAGGACGACCAGCCACACUGGGACUGAGACACGGCCCAGACUCCUACGGGAGGCAGCAGUGGGGAAUUUUGGACAAUGGGCGCAAGCCUGAUCCAGCAAUGCCGCGUGCGGGAAGAAGGCCUUCGGGUUGUAAACCGCUUUUGUACGGAACGAAAAGGCUCUGGCUAAUACCUGGGGCUGAUGACGGUACCGUAAGAAUAAGCACCGGCUAACUACGUG